Molecule: transfer RNA, 82 nt
Filed under: Schizophyllum amplum
Lineage: Eukaryota; Fungi; Basidiomycota; Agaricomycetes; Agaricales; Schizophyllaceae
Description: Auriculariopsis ampla tRNA
Rfam family: tRNA
About the family: Transfer RNA (tRNA) molecules are approximately 80 nucleotides in length. Their secondary structure includes four short double-helical elements and three loops (D, anti-codon, and T loops).
Source: Rfam by way of RNAcentral
GGGUGCUUAGCGCAGUGGUAGCGCGUUCGCUUUGCAUGGGGUUCAAUGCGAAAGGCCAGGAGUUCGAUCCUCUUAGCAUCCA